Long non-coding RNA from Nannospalax galili (Upper Galilee mountains blind mole rat), 3541 nucleotides. RefSeq lists it as uncharacterized. Lineage: Eukaryota; Metazoa; Chordata; Mammalia; Rodentia; Spalacidae. The transcript is spliced from 3 exons. The record is from RefSeq and is a predicted model, not a curated record.
AGAGAAAAACAAAUGAUGAGCGGGUUUUCAUCACACACCCACAAUUCAGGUCAAGUCAGAGAGCUAGAAUUUUACAUCUCCAUGAUUCUCUAGUCUCAUAAAACUGUGUAUAAUAAAAUAUUUACUUCCAAAAAUCUGUGUUCAAAUGUCAAAAACCUCUGUCAUAGUUCUAUUCCAGACAAGAAUCAUUGAAACAGUUUGAUUUAACAAAUUAUGCACAUAAAUGGCUCUUAGGACAGAAUGUGAAAAAAUUACAUUCAAGCAACUAUCUGUAAUACACUACUAGGAAAUGAUAAAACAGUAGCAAAGAGAGUUUUGCUAUCUAUUAUAAGGUCUUUUUGUUAUGUGGGACUGUAGAUUAACCCCACUAAGGCCUUGCAAAUGUAUUAGCAGUGAACUCUCAACAGAACCAAUUCAUAUCAUGAGCCUGAAAGAAUGAGAAUCAAUUCUCCAGAGUCUGCCAAUUAGCCAGAUUUGAUCUGCAAACCCUGAAUGUCAAGCAGUGUUAUCUUUUUCUUUUGGAGUAAAAGCAAGACAACUAUAAACUGUGGCUUAACUUAUUCUAUGCAAAUAGAAGUCCAAGACUUGCCAAGUAUAGAUAUAGUUAAUUAUUUAACAUACUCUUUAGUCUAUUAAUCAAUAGUUAAAUGAAAAUAGGUUCUACAAAGCAUUUUUAACAAUCAGAGAAUUAUCUAACGGUCAGGAAAAUGACAAGAUAGUAAUUUUGCCAGGCACAUGUGGCAGCUAGAACAUGCUCAUGCACAUCUCAUGCAGUGAAUGCUAGUUGAGCUUGGUUUACAGCCAAAGAAAACCAUUUACAACGUGGAAAUGCAAGCUUUGAAACAAAAAAUACACUUAAAUGAUUUACGAUUAUACCAAACAGAAAGGUAAUUUUCACCAGCAAAAUAUCAAUCUGAGUAAAAGCAUAUUCACAUUUAUACUAACUCCUGCUCACAAGAUAAAAGCACACUGAAAUACUUUAGUACAUAUGCAUGAAACUAUAAACAAUAAAUGCAAAGAAUUAAGAUACAUAUAAGUAUAUGUAGGACAUACACUCCAUGUGAAUCUACCUCUUGGUGAAAUGGAAUUUCCAAUACAUGUUUCAGGUUAGUAUUUGUACUAAGUGAUCCUGGACAGAAAAAAAAUUAUUCUUCAUGAAAAACUCUGUCUAUAAUUUAUCAGUUUUAGUUGCAAUUUUUAAAUCUGUAUGUUGAUUUAAAGUGGUGAAAAUAGAAACAUCAUUUGUGUUUUGUUUGAUGGAAGGAGAGAUUAAGUUUUGAGCUGAAGGAAAAAUAUUCUAGAGGUAUCUUAAGAGAAAGUGGGGGUUGAGGGUAAUCAGUAUGUGUAAUAUCCAUGCAUGAACUCCUCAAAGAACAAAUUUAAUUUAUUAGAAAAGAUGCUUCACACAUUAAUGGCUUCAAUGAACUUGUAUUUAUCAUAAGAUAUACUUGUUAUCAGUUUAAAAUUAGAGGAAAAGUUGGCUGUUGAAAACUUCUGAAGCACUAAGACUAACAACAUAUUCCCACAUCUAGACACUUCUCAAAUAUACGAGGGAUGAUCAUAGAACUUAAGAGUUUCAACUCAUUCUUUCCUCAGCUUUCUAUUUGCUACACACACUCAGAAACCCCUUAGAUUUUUUUUUUAGUACCUCUCAUGAAGUUGUGAGCAGAAGACAUAAGAUGAAGCUAAUUUAGUUAUCAUUUCCCAGUUUGGUAAGAUCUUUUUCAAGAUUUUAGAUCACUAUCUCAGAGGACUAUUUGGCAAUAUCAUUGCAAUUCUAGCUAAAUGAUGAUACUUGGAAGGGAGUCUGUCAUGCUGGCAUGGAAUACUGGGCUCCUCAGUUACUAUGGAGGUAGUGGUUGUGAUAUGCUGGCCUGUAUCACUGUAAGGAAUAUCUGACUUUUGGGCGAGUAGGCCUCAGUGAGGAAGGGGACUUAACAGAUUCUCAAGGGCAGAGACCAUUCUAUGUUCAAGCUGAGCAACUCUCCUUUUCUGGGUUUCUAUGAUGGACAGGCAGACUUCUGAUCAGUGUUUUCCCAUGUGGUUUGUCAGCUGAAUAAAGACAUGCCUGCUAUACUUUUCUUUAAAAUAUUUUAUUGUUUUUUAUUAUGUUAUAAGUCUAUUGCAUGUAUGUAGAUACACCCAUGUUGUGCAGUGUCCAUGGAAACCAGAAGAGGCCAUCAGAUUCCCUGGAACUGGAGUUAAGGAUGGUUGUUAGCAACCUUGUUGGUGCUGGGACCAAGACCCAGAUCCUGUGCAGCAGCAAUCAGUGCUCUUAAUGGCUGAGCCACCUCUCCAGCCCCUAAAUGUUAUACUUUGCAUCACAUCAUAGCAUGUUAAUCACAUUGUUGAUAAGAAUCUAUAUCCCUAGAUGAGUGAAAGUAAGACCCAGUUUUAAGUGUGGAUGAAUCUGAGUUUCUGAACCUGCAAGCCUUAGGUUUUGAGUAUUCCUGUAUUUAGGGUACUGUGGCAAGUUCUAUGUAUGCGGUCAAUAGUUCAUGAGAGAUAAUCAGUAUAAUUACAAUGUUUAGGGCAGCAUUUAACUUUUUGACACAUUUGUGUAUAUAUCAAUUGAGAAAAAUUUCAAGGUACAAAAUUUGAAAGACUCCUAAAACAAGCUCUUUAUGAAUUAUUCAUAAUGCACCAUAGAUUAAAUGUUAAAGAAUAGUUAAAAUAUUAUGUCCAGUUUGUAGGGUAUUUUGAGAGCUAUAGAUCCUGUUGUAUUAUGAAAGAUAUGGCCAGGAAUGGGGAUGUACACUUUAAUCCCAGCACUUGGGAGGCAGAGGCAGGCAGAUCUCAGCCUGAUCAACAUAGUGAGUUCCAGGCCAGUUGGGGCUACAGGGAGACCCUGUCUCAAAAAAUAUGGUACUUGUAAAUGACUAUUUUUUAUUAUUUUAAAUUUCAUUUAUUAUUUUUAUUAUAUGUGUAUGAGUGUAUUGCCUGCAUGUAGGUCAGUGCACCUAUGGUGUACAGUGCCAUCAGAAAAAGAUGUCAGACUCCCUGGAACUGGAGUUACAGACAGCCGUUAGCCACCAUGUGUGCUGGGAUUUGAAUCUAGGUCCUCUGCACAAGCAGUCACUGCUCUUAACUGUUGAGGCAUCACUCUAGCCCUCAUCUUUCAAAUAAAACUCACUCUGAAACUACAGUUUGCUUCUUUAGUCUCUCUUGUUUGGGUCAUUCUAAUAUAGUGGGGGACAGGGCUUUCCGGGAUGCUAAAACUUAAGAGAUACUCUUUUGGAUCAUGUGAACAUUGAUUCUACUUUCUCUCUCGAGAUAAGGAUGCAAGCCUUGCUAAUGUGGAGUCUGGCUCAAAAUUAGGAGAGUCUAACAUUAUGUACCACUUUAAAUGGAAACAGAUAUUUUGGCAGCUGAAACUAAUAUGAAACUGUGACACGAUCUGAAUGAGCACAGCAAUCCACAGCCCCGUCACCCUGAAUGUGCCCAAUCACAUCUGAAACAAGUGCACCAUACGGCGAGACUCCAUCUCUGAGUCUAUAAUGUAAGUGCACCUGUGUCAUGCAAUGCCCGCAGAAGACAGAAG